CUGCCCUGCCUUGACCUUCCAUCCGACUUUUAAUCGGAUGGUCCCGGGUUCGAAUCCCGGCGGGCGUACCA
RNAcentral lists this transfer RNA (71 nucleotides) under Alphaproteobacteria bacterium. Its description in RNAcentral is "tRNA-Lys". It matches the Rfam family "tRNA", at positions 12 to 71 of the family's 71-position model. From Rfam's summary of the family: Transfer RNA (tRNA) molecules are approximately 80 nucleotides in length. Their secondary structure includes four short double-helical elements and three loops (D, anti-codon, and T loops). The record is from RNAcentral. Lineage: Bacteria; Pseudomonadati; Pseudomonadota; Alphaproteobacteria.